UGUAGCAACCACAGAGAAGGUGUCCACCUGAACCCAUUCCGAACUCAGCAGUUAAGCCCUUCAUCGCCGACAAUACCGUAUGGGAAGAUAGGACGUUGCUUUUU
RNAcentral lists this ribosomal RNA (104 nucleotides) under [Mycoplasma] gypis. The record is from RNAcentral. Lineage: Bacteria; Bacillati; Mycoplasmatota; Mycoplasmoidales; Metamycoplasmataceae.